This 383-nucleotide ribosomal RNA is filed under the name uncultured bacterium. RNAcentral describes it as "bacterial SSU rRNA". It matches the Rfam family "Bacterial small subunit ribosomal RNA", at positions 452 to 833 of the family's 1533-position model. The record is from RNAcentral.
AACGCCAAUACCGUUCGUGAUGACGGUACCAUUUGUAAGCUCCGGCUAACUCCGUGCCAGCAGCCGCGGUAAUACGGGGGGAGCAAGCGUUGUUCGGAUUUACUGGGCGUAAAGGGCGCGUAGGCGGCCAGCGCAAGUCAGUUGUGAAAUCUCCGGGCUUAACUCGGAAAGGUCAACUGAUACUGCGCGGCUAGAGUGCGGAAGGGGCAACUGGAAUUCUCGGUGUAGCGGUGAAAUGCGUAGAUAUCGAGAGGAACACCUGCGGCGAAGGCGGGUUGCUGGGCCGACACUGACGCUGAGGCGCGAAAGCCAGGGGAGCGAACGGGAUUAGAUACCCCGGUAGUCCUGGCCUUAAACGAUGGAUGCUUGGUGUCUGGGGUUUU